GAGAGAGAGAGAGGAGGCCAAAGCUUUUUCCGGCAUUUAAUGGCAAUUCCAGCAACAUUUGGAAGAGUGAAUCUGUCUAGUAGAUUUUCCUUGCCUUUGACAGUUGCUUCACACCUAUAAUGUCACUUGACAAUCACUGGAGAAGGAGAUCAACAUUAAUGAAGACCAAAGGUUUCGAGCACCGAAACUCACAAACCAUUGAGCUUAUCAGCGGAGACUGGCAUAAGAAUGCUCAGCAGAUCGAGAGGCGCCUAGGGAUGUGAUCGGAAAUGCCAAUCGGCGAUGGUGGUCAAUGGUGGUAAGAGCAAGUACCCACAGAACAAUGAUUUCAUUAUUUGUUCUUCCUUUCUGUCUGAAGCAUAAUCUAUGGAUACAUUGUCUAUGGGUUGUGUAUGUCUCAUGCGGAAAUAAAGUUGAUUUAUGGUCAGAAAUCAU
This 435-nucleotide unclassified non-coding RNA is filed under the name Hevea brasiliensis (rubber tree). The record is from RNAcentral. Lineage: Eukaryota; Viridiplantae; Streptophyta; Magnoliopsida; Malpighiales; Euphorbiaceae.